UAUGUACAUAUACGUAUACGUUGGGUGUAU
RNAcentral lists this non-coding RNA (30 nucleotides) under Rattus norvegicus (Norway rat). Lineage: Eukaryota; Metazoa; Chordata; Mammalia; Rodentia; Muridae. The record is from RNAcentral.